GAAGCAAUUAUAUGAUAUUGCAACGCAGACUGCAAAAGGGCUCUCUUAUUUGCAUGAAAGUUGUGAUGAACAGAUAAUUCAUCGAGACAUAAAGCCUGGUAAUGUGCUCCUUGACUCAAAGUUCUGUCCUAAGAUUACUGAUUUUGGAUUGGCUAAAUUUUAUAGCACAGAUAAGAUGCAAAUUGAAUUGAGUAACAGAUCGAUCAGUGGGGUACGCAGUUAUGAUGCUCCAGAGUUGCGAAGUAAAAAAAACGUAAGCUGUAAAUUUGAUGUUUUCAGCUUUGGGGUGAUGCUUUCUGAAAUUUUAGCGCAUUUCAAAGGUGAACACUCGGUUGCAAGAUAUGUUUGGGAAAAGUUUCAGAAAGGACUACUUGACGAAUUUAUAACAGAAUGUGGCAUUAUAUCUGGAGAAAAGGAUAAAGAAAAUGCAAAGACAUUAAGUAUAGUUGCAUUGUUGUGCAUUGAAGAAAACCCCCAGGACAAACCUCAAAUGAGUGAGGUGGUGAAUUUUCUUAUGGGUGUUAUCAAACCUUCCACACCACUGAAUCCUUAUUUCAAUCAAGACUUAUCGCGUUUUCCCCAGGGAACCAAGUUAAUCUCAGAAGUCUAGCUAGAGCUACAUGACUGAAUCGGGCGGUAUAGACAUUGAAGUGUCAGAAGAAGGAAGAAGCACAACAAGGGAAUCAGACGGUUGUAAGACUUUUGUAUUGACCAUUUUUAUGAGGUUGGUCAAUACAUUAAUGAAUGAUGAUGAUGUAUGUAAAUGAUAUGAACAAUAAUAACAAAGUAGAAAAGACAUGACACCAUUGUUUACGUGGUUCGGCAAAUGUGCCUACGUCCACGGAGAGGGAGAAAGAAGUUUAUUAUAGUAGUGGUGAUACAAAAUGGGAGCUCGAUAAUGGAGAGAGCUCAAGAGAGAGAUGAGACCUGAGAGGUGAGGUCUCAUGAGAGAGUGUUGAGGUCUUGUGUAUGAUUCACAAUGAGACCAUUAGAACCUGAGAAGAUGAGUAGUUUGCCUUUAUAUUUAUAGGCUACAAUGUAACUCCAUUCUUAGCAAUUAAUAGGGUAAUAAUGGGGAAAAUAUCUUUGUAAUAAUAAGGCUUAACUUUGUAACUUGUGCCAUCAAGAGAGAGCCCAUUAGAUGUUGACAUGUGGCACCAUGAUGGAUGGUAGAGAUGGUGCCACAUGUAUGUUGUAUAUAGUACCCCUACAUAAGCCCCCUCUUUUUAGGUUGAACGGAGUUCGGGCUGAAAAGAAGUAAUCGAACCGAUCCAGCCCCCAAGAUGAAUGAAAUAUGGGGUUUUUAACGAAGUCGAUCCGCCCCAAAUUUUGAUGAGCUUGAUCAUUGAGAUUUGCAGGACGCGAUGAAGGUCCCUUGUGGUAAUGGCAACUCGAUCAUGAAUUUGUGUAUAGCGAGCUAGUUAGUUCCAGGGAGACCUGGUAGCUCGUUCAGAAGGCAUGUAGACAAGAUGGACAGCUGCAAGCAGGUCGUACUGAAGUGGGUCUUCUUGUAUACUUGGGUGGUUGGUCUCGGUCAAGCUUCGAGGUGGUCGCCUUUUUGUGGUCGAGUUGCAUAGACCUGAUAAUGUUAGCAUGUGAAACAUUAUAAAAUUCAAUAAAAGACUUACAUGGAAUUGUACGUCUUCCUUAUGACUUGUAUAUACUAUCUUUGUCGCCUUGUGACUGGACACUUCGAUAGAUAUGGCACUUUGGAGUGCAAUGUAGCUCGUUUGAGAAAGAGCAUUGGUUGACCAAGUGUUUUGAGAGUUACUUGGAACCUUUUGGUGCCCGAUCUAGUGAAUGGUCGCAGCGUGGAGACCUGUUUGACAAUUCUCGGGCAUGUGGCCUUUGUGGGUCUGCAUUGCAUUGAGAGUGAAUGCGUUCGACCAGGCGUGUGGCUAGAGAAUUGUGUUUGAGGUCGUCCCGCAUACGAGUGACUCACUAGUCAAUGAGGGUGGCCGUAUUGUAUAUCAAGCAUUUCACUUGUAAAGAGUUCAGUGAAAGCAAUGUGGCACAUUUGUGCAAAAAUAGCUCAUGGGGAGUGAGGUCGUGUUCAUGUGACCUGCACAUAGAGAGAGCUACAAAAAAUAUCAUUAAUAGCUAAUUGUGCUAAUAAUAAGUUAAUUUCAUUAGAUAAAGUGAGAAUAGCCCCCUAUAUGGCAUAAAUAUUCUUGAGGUCGUUGAAGGACCUGUAAUUUGAAGAGGUCGUUGAUAGACCUGGUGAGGUCGCGAUGAAGGACCUGGCAUGAAGGACCUGAGAGGUCGUUGGCUUAGGGACCUGAGAGGUCGUUGGCUUAGGGACCUGAAUAAGAGGUCAGGUCGCGAUGAGACCUGAGCUCGUCUGCUUAGAGACCUGAAUAUGUGAGGAGGUCUCUGCAAGACCUGAACAUGUGGCCAUUAAGAAUGUAACUGAUGAUAUAAAAUCUUGAUCGAGUUAUGAGAAUAUAUGUUACAUAGAUGCAUAUAAUAGUCAAUUUGUGUGAGACAAAAUAGAAUGAUCAGUAAGAAAUGGAGGUCUCUUCGAGUGGGUAAACAUAAACAAAUAUCAUAGUGGAUUGAUACUUAUCUUUAUUUGAAGAGCUUGUAGCUAAGUCGUUCUGAUCAGCUAUUUUCCAGGGAGUCCUGGUAGCUCGUUCAGAAGGCAGGUAGACGAGAUGAAUGGCUGCAAGUAGGACGAACUGAAACAGUUCUUCUUGUAUGCCUUAGUUUAAUGUUGCUUUCGUCGAGUUUAGUAAUUGUGUAAACAAUUUGCUCCAAGCCCCCAACUGUGAGUUGCAAUUUUGUCUUUUCAAAUUCAAUGAAUUUCUUGAAAAUCACCAUCUGAGAACCUUAGAACAAUGGUGUUCGGUGGGGUUGGUGGGUGGAAUUCGCUCGAGAAAAUCCCAAGUCCCUGUAGUCGGCGCCAAAUGUAUUGACCAUUUUUGUGAGGUUGGUCAAUACAUUAAUGAAUGAUGAUGAUGUAUGUAAAUGAUAUGAACAAUAAUAACAAAGUAGAAAAGACAUGACACCAUUGUUUACGUGGUUCGGCAAUUGUGCCUACGUCCACGGAGAGGGAGAAAGAAGUUUAUUAUAGUAGUGGUGAUACAAAAUGGGAGCUCGAUAAUGGAGAGAGCUCAAGAGAGAGAUGAGACCUGAGAGGUGAGGUCUCAUGAGAGAGUGUUGAGGUCUUGUGUAUGAUUCACAAUGAGACCAUUAGAACCUGAGAAGAUGAGUAGUUUGCCUUUAUAUUUAUAGGCUACAAUGUAACUCCAUUCUUAGCAAUUAAUAGGGUAAUAAUGGGGAAAAUAUCUUUGUAAUAAUAAGUCUUAACUUUGUAACUUGUGCCAUCAAGAGAGAGCCCAUUAGAUGUUGACAUGUGGCACCAUGAUGGACGGUAGAGAUGGUGCCACAUGUAUGUUGUAUAUAGUACCCCUACAACUUUCAUUAACAACGGCUUUCAUGUUGUCAUCAAAACAGAACCCAUAUUAUGUUAUAUGUGUUAUUUUCCAGUUGAAUAAGUCUUAGUUGUUAUGAGUUAAGCCUAAUAAGUAGAAAGUAGAGUGUAGUCUUAUAGGGGUUAGUUGCAACUUAACGUUGGAGUGGGUUGUUGUAACUUAGUCCUAUUUUAUUGGUAAGAUAUUUGUAAUCACCUUCUAUUUAAGGUGCAGCAUUCAUUAAUAAAAGUAUGCUUAUGAAUUAUCUCCAAUUAUCCUCAACACUUAUUGUUGUUAUUGUAACACCCCGGGUCGGCAGGUGGUUUGCCAAGAGGGUGGGUCAUAUGUUGCAUGAGAGGGGGAUGAUCCCGACAUUGGAAUAUAGGUAUAGAUCCGUCAUAUAUAAUCACCGAGGCUUUUUGGGAGUAUCCCUCAUAUAUAAACAUUUCUCGUAAUGUUUUUCAUUAUUGCUGCCCUUGAAAUCUCGUAAGAUUGUCUGUAUAUUUGCAUGAGACGUGUUCACUAGAAUCAGACAUAGAAGACAUUAAGAUUGAUAAAAACAACAUAGUAAUUAGGAGGAUAUAUACCCAAGCUGUGGCAUUGAAACAGACACAUUUCGUAGUUACUUUCUUGUCCGACUCCACUUCAUAUAUGAAUUCACUAGACUUCAUCACCAACAAAGUUCUUGCUUCCUCAAUCCUCAAAGCUAAAACACCUUCCAUGGUUGGACACAAAGUAGAAGUCCACUUCAACGAAUCGUCACGUCUAUCCAACAUCAUCUUCAUAACACGUGACCUAAUUCUAUCAAGCAUUGGAAGUAUGGGCAUAGAACGUUGUGUGUACCCUGGGUAAAAUACCCGACAGGUGUCAUCGGUGGCUGUAUAAGAAGCUAAACCGAGAACACUUGAACGUUAGCCAGCCAGACCUGGACUAUCGGGUAGGGUCCAACCCGGUCUCAAGAAGUCUGCAUACGCUCUGUAGAUCCUGACCACUGGAUGGGCCACGAUCAGUGGGUGGAGCCCCGAUUACUGUAUAAGAAGUUGAGCCGUGGGCUCCCAUACAUCAGCCAGGCCUGUCUUAAUCAAGUAAGCUAGGUCCGACCCAUUGAAGUCCAUCAGCGACGAAGUCCCAUCCAAAGGCUUAUCAUAGAAGUCCAAAGGACCUGGCCAGGGAGUAUGAAAUGCAGAUUGGGCCUCCGGUCUGAGGAGUCUAGCCCAAGUCUUUGCUUUCAAACUUGGUCAAAUCCAAGUCCUAACUAACUGGAUAAGUCCAACAAGAUUUCAAGCUAACAGAACCCACUCUUCUAGCCCGCUGCAGAACAUAAAGGAAGACCCAGGUUGAACCAGAACCUAUCAGAGAAUGCCAUGUGGCAGUCGUCCUUGUCCAAGGGGAUUCAAACCGAGGGAUAAUCGUCAAGCAGCAUGCAUGUGUGCUAUCUCUGCGGGAACAUCUUCACAGUUUGAACUGCCCGAGUUCAUGGAGUCGAAACCGAAGGAGCGGUUGAGCCAGCCUCCUCCGGUCCACUAUAAAUUCAGGAGUUCUCAACCUCCUAAACUACGAGUCUUUCACUUAACAACCUCCAUUACUAAAUCACAUUAUAUAUUGAAAAGUGUUUAGAGGUGGAUUAAAGUUGGUUAUCAAAGUAUAUUGGUCAUGGUUCCAUAUGUAUUACUUGGAUUUUGAUAUGUGUAUAUUGAAAAGCGUAAAACCCUUUGAACAACCUUCUCUAUUUCUCUCUCAUUUUCCCUCUUCUCACUUUCUCUUUCAAUGAUUAUAAAGUGGAUACAAUAUUCAAAAAUAUGUAAAAAUCUUUUUAUGUUCAAAUUUUCUGUGUUUUGUAGUGCGAAUUAGUUCGUAUAACUUAUGUAAAUUGAGAUAUGUCUCUUGAACUGAAAGAUACGUCAUCUGUAUAACCUAUGUAAAUUCAUAUAUGUUACUCUUAUUGAAUAUUUGUUUUAAAAGAAUAUAUUAUAUUAUAAAACUAGUAAUCUAACUCCUAAAAUUGAAUGUGACAGAAUAAGAAUUUUAAUAUUAUUAUCUUCAAAUUAUUAAUGAUAUUCGUGGCAGUGCCAUGGGUUUUACUAGUAAUUUAUGAUCCAUAACUGCCCAUUUUUAAAUUACAAAAUAAAAAAUAAACUUCCUAUUGAUAAUAUUAUAAUAAAUUAGUAGAAUUACAUUCCCUCUAGAACCAUUAAUCUUGAGUAAGUUUUUUUUUUUUUUUUUUUAGAGUAACUUGUGUCUUACCAGUCCUCGUAAUCUCGAAUUUGAUAGAUAAAACAAUAAUGCAAAGUCUUGUAUUUCACAGAAUUACAAUUAAAAUAUAUACUCUCCUAAACCAAAGCUAAUACAAGGAAACUACCAAAAAAAAACUACUCUUAACAGAAUUAUAUAUAUGUCGUGAAAUACUUAAUAAGAUAGAAUAUGGUCGGAAUCUUUUAUGUAUGAUUAAGGAUUGGAUGAGUAAGAUGGUGGAAUUGAAGUGGAAGUCUUUCAUGUGUAUAGGGAGAGUAACGAAGUAGUAGAUCACCUUGCUAGCCUUUGUAGCUCACCGGAGUUAUGUGUAAACCUUUUUUUCUCCUCCUCUAGAUGCCAAGCUACUUGAGUAGGUAACAGAUGACUCUAAUGGGAGGGAAUUUGUAAGGAUUUCUAUAUAUAUAUAUACAUACAUACACUGGUAGGGGUCUGCCAAACCCUAAAUUUCUUCAACAAAAUAAAAAAUAAUAAUAUGUUCGACUAAUGUUUAUGCCACGGAUGACAUUAAAUUAGAGAGGUCCUACUGUAUAUGAAUCUAAUGAUAUAUAUGAAUGUUCCUAAUUUACAGGUUCAUGAUAUGACUUUAUCACACAAAUAAACCAACCGCCCGAUUGAAUUUUUGUUGUCGCCCAGGUUCCAUUUCGAAUGCAUGGUACAUGUAACGUGUUGGAGUUAUUUUGCAGAUCAUGUCAUAAUAGUGUUUUGUAAGUAGCAACAGGGAUGGUUAUUCAACAAGCUAAGUUGUUCACCACCUCUGCUACAAGAUAUUGAGGAUUUACUUAGCUUCCUGAUCAAAUUCAUUAUCAUCAUCUCCAAUGAAACUAUAGACAGUAAAAAAACAAAAAGCCAGUCUUCCAAAUUUCAACUUACAAACUAUUAAUCAUAGGCAAAGACAGUAAAAAGCAAAUAAAAAAGAAAAAAACAACCGCAUUCAACUUAAGCUUGCUUGAACAGCCUCUGGAGUCUUCAAACCAAAGCUAAACUAAGGUCUUGUAUUCAAGUUCAUCAUUCGGAUGACCUCGGAAUCCCUUCAAACAGUUUUCCCAAUGUGCCUUGUGUAUCCAUCUCAACCAUUUUAUCAAAAGCUAGUUGCUUUCCUUUCACAAAUACUACAGGAGGGUAUACACCCUUUUUACCUAGCACGGUUUGCAAUUCACUCAUAUAGGCUCGUCCAGCAGUAUCUCGCUCAUCAACCUCAAUUUGAUAUGAUUUUAACAUGGAAACAAUAUAUUCAGAAUAAUCAAUGUUGUCUCUACGACCAGACGAAACUGUGUAAACAACAACCGCAUUUUCACCUCCAGGCGGACACCUUGAUUUGAAUUUUGCAAGCUCCAUAUUUGGUUCACUUAUUACAGGCCUUUCAAAAAUGGCAGAAUUGACCUUUGGAUGCCCCAACUUGGCUGGGAGAGAAAACACCAAAGAAUUAGAACUACCACUCAUGCUGCUGCUACUUUCAGCAAAAUCAUAUGUAAAUGGUUCGAGCGGCAACCACGGUUCUAUCUCGCCCUCAAGCAUCUUCACCACUUUGCUCAUAUCUUCACCACUUUGAAAUUUUUCCUGAAUCGUUGCGUUAUCCACAUGAGAGUUUUUCUCCUGCAGACUGAAAGAGUAACAUCAAAUUUGCCAGUCUCAACAUCAUAUAGAAGAGUUAGGUAAGAGAUUAUUAAUUGUGCGGGAAAAAAACACUUGAGAGCUAUCUAUAUAUAGUACCUUUCAGCAAUUGAACUUGCAAUUUUUGAAGAAACUUGUGAGUAGGACAAGUUCACUGGCAUUGUUCGCCCACCAAUUCGUAUCGAGGUACUGCCUUCACUUGACAAGUCAUAAAACGGAAAGGGAUCAAGUGGCAGUGAUGGUUCAAUAGCACCCUCAAGCAUCAUCACAACCGUGCUCAUGAGUGGUCUUAGUUGGGGAAUAUCUUGAGCGCACAAUAAUGCAACUAAACUUAAUCUCUUCGCUUUAUCUUUAUCUUUCUCUAAAAUGCCACAAUCAGUGAUCAUUUCAUCGAGUUGUCCAUUCUUAACAGUCUUCCAAACUUGAAACGGAAACCACUCUUGGCCCUCCCAAAUCCUCUUUCUCGUCAAAAGUUCAAACAACAUCAUACCGAAGCUGUAAACAUCACAUUUAUGACUCGUUAUGUUGUUCCAUCCUAAACAAACCUCCAGGGCUGCAUAACCAUAGGUCCCUCGGAAGCUGUUCUUUGAGACGUGACUAAGAUCACUAUUAUUACCAAGCUUGGCCAAUCCAAAAUCGGCAAUCUUUGGAGAAUGAUUCGAGUCAAGAAGCACAUUUUCAGCUUUUAUGUCAUGGUGAAUUAUUGGCGGACUACAGAUCUCGUGCAAAUAAGAAAGUCCUUGUGCUAUCUGUACUGCAAUAUGAAACAGUUUUACCCACUCUAUACUGGAAUCGUUUUGAUACAACACUUUAUCAAAAGAUUCAUUCUCCACGUAUUCAUAAACAAGUGCUUUCGUGUUGUCUUCCAAGCAAAAACCAUACAGUUUAACCAAGUUUUGAUGGUAGGUUCUGCUCAUUAUGGCUACUUCGUCUAGAAAUUGACUAGCCAUGAACUUAUUUUUCAUAUUAUCAUUUGCAUUAUAUUUCAGCACCUUAACUGCCACUUUUUUAUCGUAAGCAAAUCCUUUGUAAACGUUUCCAAACUCACCAGAUCCUAAUGUAUCAGCAGUAAAAUUUGACGUAAAUUUCAGAAGCUCUUUAUGUGAAAAUAAUUGUACUUUCUCAUUUUGAAUUCCGCUUAAAAACAUUUGGAUUUGAUUUGAGCUGUCAUCUCCCUUGCUUAGCAUACCAGGAUUUCCCUCCAUCUUAGGUGAUACUAUAUUGCAACUGUCAGGUACAAUAUGAAGUUGCCGAUCCUAACAGUAUCAAAGAUAACCUGAUGAUCAGCUAGAGAAAAAGAAAAGAAAAGCUAAUGACUGACAGAAAAGUCAGUUGAACUCAAUCAUUAUUGUCAUUGUUUAUCCAUUUUUAUGUUUAAUUUUGUCGAUUAUUUGAGAUCAUGAAGGGUACCUAGACUGAUUUCAGAUCCGGGUUUUCUUAAAACCAUCAAGAAAUAUCUGAUGUACACUAACUAAGCUAGCUAGCUUUGAUUAUCAAAAAAAAAAAAAAAAAUCCAAAUUAAUCUUACCUUGACACUAUCUUUCUUUCAGCUGUUGAUAUGUGUAUGCUCGAAUUCUUUGUAUCUUCAAAAAGCAAAGAGGCAAUUUUUAUCAAGUAUUCUAUACAUAAUACAAGAUUGAACAACACUUUUAGGCAUAGCUUGCAUACUUACCAAAUACUGUAUAACCCAGCAGAGAGAAGACUGGGUUAGAAGUUGUUUCUAUGUCACCUUGAUGGGAAGAGAUAUGCAUAUGAUGCUUCCUUCUUGGAAUCUUUAUCUCUUAUGAAGUUGUAUUUUUUUAAUGCCAAGUGGAACAACAAGUUGGAAAUGUUUAUACACUAAUUAAUUAAACACCACAUGGAAGACUUUGAAUAUCAAGAUUUAAAUUGUUUGAACAAAUAGUUCUAACAUUUUAUAAAGUUUUUGAUAUAAUUUAUGACUCAUAACUGCCCAUUUUUAAAUUACAAAAUAAGAAAUAAAGUUCCUAUUGAUAAUAUUAUAAUAAAUUAGUAGAAUUACAUUCCUUCUAGAACCAUUAAUCUCGAGUAAGUUUUUUUUUUUUUUUUUGAGUAACUUGUUUCUUACCAGUCCUCGUAAUCUCGAAUUUGAUAGAUAAAACAAUAAUGCAAAGCCAUGUAUAGUAGUAAUCUUAAGAUUUGAUAGAUAAAACAAUAAUGCAAAGUCUUGUAUUUCACAGAAUUACAAUUAAAAUAUCAGAAUUUUCAUCCCAAGGAUCAAAUAUAGAGUUUUCUUAGGUUUUAGGAAAUCGGAAAACUUUUGUUAGGAUUUACCUCGAACAAAACCGUAUUUUUCAGGCAGACCAAAUUACCCUUCCACUACCAACACAGAAUAGACGUGAGAAAGAGUUGGGGGGAGGACAUUGUUGGUUGAAUGUGGGAGUUGGUAGCGAGAUUGAGAAACAAUAGUGGUAUAAGUGGUGCGAACUUGGGGAGUAUUGAAGAAUUGAGAUGGUUGGGAGGUUUAUAGGGUUGUAUGUAUGGGUAGGGAUGUGAAAAUAUGUUUUGUGGUGUUUGGCGGCAACCAUGAAUAUUGAGAGAUGCAAAGUCAAUAAUGGAAACUUGUGGUAAAGUUGUGGUGGUGGUGGAAAAUUGGGGGAUAAAAUGUUCAUUUUGGUUAUUGUACUUUGUUUGUUUUUUGCAAUUUGGUCACAACACUUUUUUCCUGUCAGUUUGGUCAUAGUAGAGGGUGGGAGGGUGAGAACAUCAACAAUAGAUUGCUUACCUUCAAACUUAUUAAAUUGAAGAGUAAGUUUCUCGAUUAAAGUGGUUAGACGAUUAAUAGCCGAAUUGAAUUCAAUCUUCGUCACAUAAUCUCUAAGAUUAUUGACUUGGGAGCGGGGUGAAGAAUCUCCACCAUUGUAAGAUCGAAACGUAGCUCUUGAUACCAAUUGACAUAGCGGAAGCAAUUAAAAAUCAAACCUUGAAUAACCCAAGGUGAGAAUUGUCCUGAAACAAGGAAGAACUAAAACAAAACUAAAAAAAAUAGACAAUCUUAAUUGUAUUGAUUGAAUAAUUGAUCUACAAAACAUGACUCUUUAUAUAGACUAAAGACUUGUUCCGAACCGUGCUCACCCCUAAAACCAACUAUUCUAGAAUUUCAAGACUCUAAAAUAAAAAUUACUAAAUAAAAUAAAAUAAAUUUUUUUUUUUCUAACAUUACAACAUCAACAAUGACGUCAUCACUUCUGCAUUACAUUCAUUGCAUUGAGGGAAUGAGAAAGAAACAACCUCUAACUUCAAAUUUUGCAAGUUGCCACAUGUAGAACUAAUUAUUGUACUUAGAAUUAAAACAUAUAAAACACGCAAUUCAUGCAUGCCGGCCUGUAACCUUGCCCUGUACUAUAUACAAGAAGUAUCCCUAUCGACUAGUUGAUUAGUUCUAAUUAUAUUUUUAAAUGCAAUAUUAAUUAUAUACUCAUUAAAUUAAUAAUAAUACACUAAAUAGCACACAAGAUGCGAAGCUGCAGCAUGUUGACUUAUACAAAGUCGUCUUAAACUCCCAACUCCCAACUCCCAACACCCCUUCUUCCAUAAAGCAAGACGAUGCCAUUAAGAUGGGAGAUCUAAUAAGAACAACUUCUAAGCAAGUCUAAAGUGAUCUUCAUUUGGUUGUUUACCAAAUAAAUAAAGUGUUUAGGGCACUAUCAUGCAUGAAACUUGCAAAGCUAGUGGGAUCAAGUUAGUUAUUUAUUGAAUUUUCCAGGUAAUUUAAUUAUGUGUCUUUCUUCCGAUAGUUCUGUUUUUGUAUUGCAAUUAAUCCUGCUGCAGUUUUUAGUUCUUUGAUCAAUUGUGUUUAGUUCAGUAUUUCGACCAUAGAUCAGAUCUGAAAUUAAUCUCUCCUUGUAGAUAUAACACAUAGCUAGCUAUUCCACACACCAUUCAUUCCCACUCUGGUCCCUCAAACAAGUGCUGAAUGAGAACCCAAUAUAUGUGCAAUAUAACAAUAGUAAAACAAACAAUAAAGCAAUAAACAAAUAAAGAACACACGAUAUUUUUAACGUGGUAAAAACCAAUAUGGGAAACGUCCACGGUUGUCCUCGCGACAACAAAUAAAUUCACUAGAUGAAAAGAGAUGUACAAACCUAUCAACUACCUGCAAUCACUGCGAGUUGACACUACUGGUUAUCUCUAACACCUUGACUUCACCAGAGUACCUUGAUGUACGCACAUGACACUCGAACUUCUUGAUGAACACACAAGGAUACUCGACUUCUUGAUGAACACACAAGAAGACUCGAAGCUGAUCUCAAUAAUUAUUCAACAAAGAAGAAGAAGAUGAAUGGGGAAGAAGAAGAUGAGUUCAAUCACCAAAACAACCUAAACCAAAACCUAAACAAACUCCAAGACUAGAGAUGAAUUGGACGGCUAAAGAAAUCGUUUGUUCAUUGGGUAAAGAAACCCUAUAUAUAGUUAGGGUUUGGAAACAUAGAAAAUGGGCCGGACUUUGCAGAUUUUACAUUGGACGUACGUACGUCGAAACAGCGUACGUACGUCCGCACACGGAAAUAGUUCGCUGCCUGCUUGGACGUACGUACGUCCUAACUAGGUACGUACGUCCUGACCAAAACAUGUUUGCUGCCUAACAUGACGUACGUACACCCUAACUAGGUACAUACGUCCUAAACCCAAAAACUUACUUUUGACAAAAGAACGCGAGGACACAAACUCGAGACGAUGUGCAUAUAACUUGGUUUUCCUAACAAUGAACUCAAGGCGAGAUAACCGAGACAAUCAAUGUCACAAAAUUAAUGUCAAAUAACCGAGUGCCGGUUUCAAUCUCCCCCUUUGACAUUGAUUUUGUGACAAAAACCUAUGACUAUAGUAGCACUUAUAAAACGUGCAUACAAACCCAAACCAUGGCAUUUAUAAGAGAUGCCUACAAGAACACUCAUAGUAAAUACAUACCAAAUCACCAACACUUGAUAUUCUGGUCAAGUAAGAUUCUUUAAUCAUCAGAGACCGAACGGAAGCAACAAUGAAUUCUGUAAAUCAGAGAGCCAACGGAAGUUUCUCGAACAACUCCCCCAUACUUCAUGAGUCCCAAAAUUUGAUACUCGAGCUCCCCCGAAACUGUACAAUCUCAAACCAUCAUCACUUUCACUCCCCCAUACGUGUAGCAUACCUGAAACAUGACCCAAGAUACACUAACAAAGAAGAAGAAUGUGCUAGUAUUAGAGUCAUACAUCUCCUCAUUUUUGUCACAAAAGAAGCAAUGUGACAAGAAAAAAACCAUAACAAGUAAACAAAAAUUAAGAAGAGAAUAAUAAAACAUGUUAACAAGAAAUAGAUAUUGAACAGAAGAUAUAGAACAAUCUCUUGUCAACACAACAUAAACACCAUCAACAUGAGAAAAAUCCUUAACUAAAUCAACUUCACAAACCUUAACAAGAAGAUAAAGAGAAAGAACCGAUGUACCAUAAAAGUGAAGAGGAACACAUCAUGAAAUUCCCAAAAUAGUAGUCAAUCCCAAUCCAUACAAAAAUAAGAGACAAUAUAUUGGGAUAAACAAAAGAUUGAACAACUAAGAGAAUUGAAGUGCAUCAUAAACUAAACCUCGGUGUGUGUAGAUGCAAUGCAAUGCAUAAAGAGAGAGAAAGUUCACCACUAGAAUACACCCUUUGAAGACCUAGAAUAUAGAACCAUCAACAAGAGACAUACGAUUAGUAAGUGAGCUUAGAAGAAACAAACUUCAACCCCCUUUGAAACAAACGUUAUGCGUAGAAGACAAACGAAUAUAAAUAUGAUCUUUCAAAUGAAAACCAAGACAUCCAAAAGGCGAAGGAAUAUAAACUUUGUAUGUCUUACAUAAAAACAAUGAACAUGCGCAUGGAUUUUUAUUUUGCCGCAUGUGGUGGAGUUUAGUCUACAUCACUCUAAUGUCAUUCCCGCGUGGGAGGUAUUUUUGCCUCCAUCUUUUCAAAUACAUGAGGGUAGGGUGUAGCCUACAUCUUUUUGACAGACACAAACUCAAGAAGUGCAAUACCAUGAUAACGUGCAACACAAGAACUAACAUCUCUUGAGUGCAUCCGUCAGAGCAUGACCCUCACAACCCCAACGGGUUCUUAGCCAACUGAUAUAAUUUAAAGACAAUCAAAUGGCUGGGGAUAAAGUGAGUCAUUGACCACUAACAAGAGUUGUAAGAGGAAGAUAAGAAUGCUCAAUAACACGAACAACAAGAUGAACAUUAACCAAAACAAAUGAGAGAUAGCUCAAGAUAACAUAAAUACUCAAGAGAUAGAGAAGUUUUAUGAGCUUAAAGAAUAUGUAAGUGGUUUCCAAAAACUCCCAUCAUGCAAGAAUGCCGUGCACUGUGCAAACAAGCGAGGAAAAAUGCAUGAUACAUACCAAAACAUACUUAAGAGUUCAGAAAGAGAAAACACCCAAACAUAUUGUAACUUAUUUAAGACAAUUGAAUUAAACCAAUAUUUCAGAAAAGAUGCAUCCAACAACACAUACAUGGAAUAAUGAAAGAACAAUUAACGCAUGCAUAAAUAGAAGAUCGAACAAAAAACACCAAACAAAUGGCCUAUGUGGUUAGAAAAAUAUGCAAUUAAAAUACCACAAGACUAGAAACAAACUACAUCAUCCCAAAUAUGGGACACCACCAGACUUUUGCAAGUCUAGAAAAACCUGCAACUUAUCUUUUCUUACCCAUACUUGUUUAACACUAGGCGUGCACACCUUGAAAGUUGAAAAGAUAUGAGAUUUCCCCUUAUCAAGUUUUUCAAUAGACUUGUGGUCCUUAACUAAUUCCACCUUAGUCUUUGACUUCCUUUUGUUGGAGUACCCGUUUUUCUUAAACCUAUGAGAAUAAGCAUUAGAGUUCCAAGGUCUAGAAAACGCACAAGAAGGAACAUAAGAAUCAACAUGAUUAUAAUUAUAAGGAACACGGGAAUAACAUUUAACAUGUUGAUUAAAAUCCCAACAAAAGAUAUCCAAAUGACCAUCUCUACCACAAUAAGAACAAUGAAAAACAGUAGACUUACUCAAAGAAUUUUUAUAAGGAGAUGUGGUAGUAGAAGAUGAAACAUGUAUGUCACCAUUGUAUUUGUGACAUGGUGCCUUAACAAAAUCUGUACCUCCACUAUGAGAACAAGAUGUCUUACCAGCAAAAACACCCGUACCAUUAUCCUUAGACUUAAACUUUUUGCCAGAAACAUGCUGAAAAGUAUUAGUAUUAAGUAUAGUCUCAAUAGGUGGGGUAGGCAAAAGGGCAGGCAAACUAGAUUUUACAGAAGUAGUCACACUAGAUGGUCUAGUAGAACUAGCAAUAGGAGAGUCAAAUUUAGUUUUGUCCAAAACCUGCAAUUGAAGUUGAGUAGACGUUAAAUCGUUCUUUGUUACCUCAUACUCCACCAAUAGAGAUUUGUAUUUCUCAUCGACCUCCUGAUUGACCUUCUCUAAAGCUGCAAUUCUACAUAACAAGUCAAGUUUUUCUUUGUCAAAUAAUUGAGAAAUAGAAAUUGCAUCAUCUGCAGCAGAAAUAAUUUGUUUUUCAAGAGUCUCAAUUUUAUCCUGCAAAGUAAAAUUAGCCUUUUCCAAUUUUUUGAUUUUGGAAUCAUAAACUUCCCCUUGAAGCAUAUAGUCUUCUGCACAAUCUCUGAGUCGUUGUUCUAGAGAAUCAACCUUAGUCUGCAAAACACCAUUAUCUUUAAAACAAAAAUUAUCAGAAAUAGUAGAUAAAUUUGAAUUAGCUUUAUUGAACUUUUCCUGCAAAUCAAUAUUAGCUUUUUGUGACCUUUCACAUUCUUUUGUAGAAAGUCUGUAAAGAAGAGCCCAAUCACUAUUGCUAACAACAUACAAAUUAACAUCUUUUUCAAAAUCAGAUUUUGGUUUUGUAGAUUUAGACGGUUUAGCAAUAAAAUUAUUAUAAGCAGACUCAUGAACCAUUAUUGCACUCAUAAGAUCUACGCGUGAGCCAUUACGUUCCAUAACAAGCGCCCUGCUCUGAUACCAAUUGAGAACCCAAUAUAUGUGCAAUAUAACAAUAGUAAAGCAAACAAUAAAGCAAUAAACAAAUAAAGAACACACGAUAUUUUUAACGUGGUAAAACCCAAUAUGGGAAACGUCCACAGUUGUCCUCGCGACAACAAAUAAAUCCACUAGAUGAAAAUAGAUGUCCAAACCUAUCAACUACCUGCAAUCACUGUGAGUUGACACUACUGGUUAUCUCUAACACCUUGACUUCACUAGAGUACCUUGAUGUACGCACAAGACACUCGAACUUCUUGAUGAACACACAAGAAGACUCGAAGUCGAUCUAUGAAGCAAGCUUACACCAGAGUUCCUUGAUGAACACACAAGGAUACUCGACUUCUUGAUGAACACACAAGAAAACUCGAAGCUGAUCUCAAUAAUUAUUCAAUAAGGAAGAAGAAGAUGAAUGGGGAAGAAGAAGAUGAGUUCAAUCACCAAAACAACCUAAACCAAAACCCAAACAAACUCCAAGACUAGAGAUGAAUUGGACAGCCAAAGAACUCAUUUGUUCAUUGGGUAGAGAAACCCUAUAUAUAGUUAGGGUUUGGAAACAUAGAAAAUGGGCCGGACUUUGCAGAUUUUACAUUGGACGUACGUACGUCGAAACAACGUACAUACGUCCCCACACGGAAAUAGUUCGCUGCCUGCUUGGACAUACGUACGUCCUAACUAGGUACGUACGUCCUGACCAAAACAUGUUUGCUGCCUAACAUGACGUACGUACACCCUAACUAGGUACGUACGUCCUAAACACUAAAACUUACUUUUGACAAAAGGACGCGAGGACACAAACUCGGGACGAUGCGCGUACAACUUGGUUUUCCUAACAAUGAACUCAAGGCGAGAUAACCGAGACAAUCAAUGUCACAAAAUUAAUGUCAAAUAACCGAGGCCGGUUUCACUGAAAUCACUAGCAAUGACGACAAGAAUUAGUUCAAUUGGUUUAAUACUGUACCUGCAACAGAUCUCUGUCAUUCAAGUGUAGCCUGUGCUUGUUUUGUUUUGUUUUGACAUUAAGGGGGCUACACUUAAAAGAGUAGCUAUGUUAUAAUUUCCGAUAUAAUUAAACUAUAUAUACAAACUUUUCAUGUUCGUAUAGGCCAUUUUUUUUUAUGUCAGAUGUUGUUAAAUGUUAAAUAUUGCUUGUUCGAGUAACUCUUGUACAUACAUUACACAUGCAAAAAUAUAAUUAUUGUUUCAUCGGUCUGAGAUCAUGAGUAAUAGUUCCGAUAAGAAAAGAAAAAGAAGUUCCGACCUAAACGAUUAUUUUGAAGCUUUAUGUAAGCAGAUGCUCAAGCUGAAAGUCUUGAGAGACAAAGUGGCCACAGGAGGGGAAGUACGAAUGGCUGGUUGGCUACAGAUUGUUAAAGACAAAGAAAGAGAGGUGCGUGAAAUUGAAAUGAAGUUGAGAAAGUUAGAAAAAUAUCGUUUACCUCGUCCAAAUUCCAGGGAAAGGCUAAAAGAAAGGAUCAUUAAAAGUAUAACAACGGUGAAAGCUUUGAUCAAAAGUAAGGAUGAAAUCUCAUUAGCAAUGGAAACGUUCAGAAGGGCAGCUGAAGAAAUAUACCUCUAAUUUCCCGACUGAGAUAGGUUCUGGUGAUUUUGUGUUUCGUAAUAAUGUGGAAAUAGCCGUUAAGGUACUGCAUGACAGUGGAAUCGACAACAUGGAAAAGCAAUUUAAGGCUGAAAUAAACAGAAUGAGCAGAACUUCUCAUCGAAACUUAGCCAAGCUCUACGGUUAUUGUUUUGAUUCCUAAUCCUUAUUUCAAUCAAGACUUAUGGCAUUUUCCACAGGGAACCAAGUUAAUCUCAGAAGUCUAGCUAGAGCUACAUGACUGAAUCGGGCGGUAUAGACAUUGAAGUGUCAGAAGAAGGAAGAAGCACAACAAGGGAAUCAGACGGUUGUAAGAUUUUCAUUAACAACGGCUUUCAUGUUGUCAUCAAAACAGAACCCAUAUUAUGUUAUAUGUGUUAUUUUCCAGUUGAAUAAGUCUUAGUUGUUAUGAGUUAAGCCUAAUAAGUAGAAAGUAGAGUGUAGUCUUAUAGGGGUUAGUUGCAACUUAACGUUGGAGUGGGUUGUUGUAACUUAGUCCUGUUUUAUUAGUAAGAUAUUUGUAACACCUUCUAUUUAAGGUGCAGCAGUCAUUAAUAAAAGUAUGCUUAUGAAUUAUCUCCAAUUAUCCUCAACACUUAUUGUUGUUAUUGUAACACCCCGGGUCGGCAGGUGGUUUGCCAAAAGGGUGGGUCAUACGUUGCAUGAGAGGGGAUGAUCCUGACAUUGGAAUAUAGGUAUAGAUCCGUCAUAUAUAAUCACCGAGGCCUUUUGGGAGUAUCCCUCAUAUAUAAACAUUUCCCGUAAUGUUUUUCAUUAUUGCUGCCCUUGAAAUCUCGUAGGAUUGUCUGUAUAUUUGCAUGAGACGUGUUCACUAGAAUCAGACAUAGAAAACAUUAAGAUUGAUAAAAACAACAUAGUAAUUAGGAAGAUAUGUACCCAAGCUGUGGCAUUGAAACAAACACAUUUCGUAGUUACUUUCUUUUCCGACUCCACUUCAUAUAUGAAUUCACUAGACUUCAUCACCAACAAAGUUCUUGCUUCCUCAAUCCUCAAAGAUAAAACACCUUCCAUGGUUGGACACAAAGUAGAAGUCCACUUCAACGAAUCGUCACGUCUAUCCAACAUCAUCUUCAUAACACGUGACCUAAUUCUAUCAAGCAUUGGAAGUAUGGGCAUAGAACGUUGUGUGUACCCUGGGUACGUAAAAUACCCGAGAGGUGUCAUCGGUGGUUGUAUAAGAAGCUAAACCGAGAACACUUGAAUGUUAGCCAGCCAGACCUGGACUAUCGGGUAGGGCCCAACCCGGUCUCAAGAAGUCCACAUACGCUCUGUAGAUCUUGACCACUGGAUGGGCCACGAGCAGUGGGUGGAGCCCCGGUUACUGUAUAAGAAGUUGAGCCGUAGGCUCCCAUACAUCAGUCAGGCCCGUCUUAAUCAAGUAAGCUAGGUCCGACCCAUUGAAGUCCAUCAGCGAUGAAUUCCAUCCAAAGCCUUAUCAUAGAAGUCCAAAGGACCUGGCCAGGGAGUAUGCAAUGCAGAUUGGGCCUCCGGUCUGAGGAGUUUAGCCCAAGUCUUUGCUUUCAAACUUGGUCAAAUCCAAGUCUUAACUAACUGGAUAAGUCCAGCAAGAUUUCAGGCUAACAGAACCCACUCUUCUAGCCCGCUGGAGAACAUAAAGGAAGACCCAGGUUGAACCAGAGCCUAUCAGAGAAUGCCAUGUGGCAGUCGUCCUUGUCCGAGGGGAUUCAAACCGAGGGAUAAUCGUCAAGCAACAUGCAUGUGUGCUAUCUCUGCGGGAACAUCUUCACAGUUUGAACUGCCCGAGUUCAUGGAGUCGAAACCGAAUGAGCGGUUGAGCCAGCCUCCUCUGGUCCACUAUAAAUUCAGGAGUUCUCAACCUCCUGAACUACGAGUCUUUCACUUAACAACCUCCAUUACUAAAUCACAUUAUAUAUUGAAAAAGUGUUUAGAGGUGGAUUAAAGCUGGUUAUCAAAGUAUAAUGGUCAUGGUUCCAUAUGUAUUACUUGGAUUUUGAUAUGUGUAUAUUGAAAAGUGUAAAAACCUUUGAACAACCUUCUCUAUUUCUCUCUCAUUUCUCCUCUUCUCACUUUCUCUCUCAAUGAUUAUAAAGUGGAUACAAUAUUCAAAAAUAUGUAAAAACCUUUUUAGGUUCAAAUUUUCUGUGUUUUGUAGUGUGAAUUAGUCCGUAUAACUUAUGUAAAUUGACAUAUGUCUCUUGAACUGAAAGAUACGUCAUCUGUAUAACCUAUAACCUAUGUAAAUUCAUAUAUGUUACUCUUACUGAAUAUUUGUUUUAAAAGAAUAUAUUAUAUCAUAAAACUAGUAAUCUAACUCCUAAAAUUGAAUGUGACAGAAUACGAAUUUUAAGAUUAUUAUCUUCAAAUUAUUAAUGAUAUUCGUGGCAGUGCCACGGGUUUUACUAGUAAUUUAUGAUCCAUAACUGCCCAUUUUUAAAUUACAAAAUAAAAAAUAAACUUCCUAUUGAUAGUAUUAUAAUAAAUUAGUAGAAUUACAUUCCUUCUAGAACCAUUAAUCUUGAGUAAGUUUUUUUUUUUUUUUUGAGUAACUUGUUUCUUACCAGUCCUCGUAAUCUCGAAUUUGAUAGAUAAAACAAUAAUGCAAAGUCUUGUAUUUCACAGAAUUACAAUUAAAAUAUAUACUCUCCUAAACCAAAGCUAAUACAAGGAAACUACCAAAAAAACUACUCUUAACAGAAUUAUAUAUAUGUCGUGAAAUACUUAAUAAGAUAGAAUAUGGUCGGAAUCUUUUAUGUAUGAUUAAGGAUUGGAUGAGUAAGAUGGUGGAAUUGAAGUGGAAGUCUUUCAUGUGUAUAGGGAGAGUAACAAAGUAGUAGAUCACCUUGCUAGCCUUUGUAGCUCACCGGAGUUGUGUGUAAACCUUUUUUUCUCCUCCUCUAGCUAGAUGCCAAGCUACUUGAGUAGGUAACAGAUGACUCUAAUGGGAGGGAAUUUUUAAGGAUUUCUAUACAUAUAUAUACAUACAUACACUGGUAGGGGUCUGCCAAACCCUAAAUUUCUUCAACAAAAUAAAAAAUAAUAAUAUGUUCGACUAAUGUUUAUGCCACGGAUGACAUUAAAUUAGAGAGGUCCUACUGUAUAUGAAUCUAAUGAUAUAUAUGAAUGUUCCUAAUUUACAGGUUCAUGAUAUGACUUUAUCACAUAAAUAAACCAACCGCCCGAUUGAAUUUUUGUUGUCGCCCAGGUUCCAUUUCUAAUGCAUGGUACAUGUAACGUGUUGGAGUUAUUUUGCAGAUCAUGUCAUAAUAGUGUUUUGUAAGUAGCAACAUGUCAUAAUCAUGUCAAAUUCAUUAUCAUCAUCUCCAAUGAAACUAUAGACAGUAAAAAAACAAAAAGCCAGUCUUCCAAAUUUCAACUUACAAACUAUUAAUCAUAGGCAAAGACAGUAAAAAACAAAUAAAAAAGCUAGUGUAUCCAUCUCAACUAUUUUAAAAACUAGUUGCUUUCCUUUCACAAAUACUACAGGAGGGUAUACAGCCUUUUUACCUAGCACGGUUUGCAAUUCACUCAUAUAGGCUCGUCCAGCAGUAUCUCGCUCAUCAACCUCAAUUUGAUAUGAUUUUAACAUGGAAACAAUAUAUUCAGAAUAAUCAAUGUUGUCUCUCCGACCAGACGAAACUGUGUAAACAACAACCGCAUUUUCACCUCCAGGCGGACACCUUGAUCCGAAUUUUGCAAGCUUCAUAUUUGGUUCACUUAUUACAGGCCUUUCAAAAAUGGCAGAAUUGACUUUUGGAUGCCCCAACUUGGCUGGGAGAGAAAACACCAAAGAAUUAGAACUACCACUUAUGCUGCUGCUACUUUCACCAAAAUCAUAUGUAAAUGGUUCUUGCGGCAACCACGGUUCUAUCUCACCCUCAAGCAUCUUCACCACUUUGCUCAUAUCUGGCCGUUCGCGGUAAAUGUGUUGAGCACAUAACAAUGCAACUAAGCUUAAUCUUUUUGCAUUUUCUUUAUCCUUCUCUUCAAUGCCACAGUAAAUCAUUAUUUCACUUACCUUUCCAUCCUGAAGAUGCUUCCAAACUUUUUUUGGAAAGUUCUCGACCAUCCAAAUCCUCUUCCUCAUCAAAAUUUCGAACAACAUCAUGCCAAAACUAUAAAUAUCACAUUUAUGAUUAAUUUUGUCUUUCCAUCCAUAGCACACCUCAGGUGCAGCAUAACUCUCUGUACUUCCGAUCUGUGAGACAUGGUUGACAUCCCUGGUACGAAGCUUAGCCAACCCAAAAUCAGUAAUCUUAGGAGAAUGGUUGGAAUCAAGAAGCACAUUAUCAGACUUUAUGUCAUGGUGAACUAUUUGCGGAUAACAACCCUCAUGCAAAUAAGAGAGUCCUUUAGCUAUCUUUAUGGAAAUAUCGUACAACUUCGCCCACUCUAUACAAGAUUGCUGCUCUUGGUAUAAGAUUUUAUCGAAAGAUCCAUUCUCGACGUAUUCAUAAACAAGAGCUUUCAUGUUGUCAUCAUAACAAAACCCAUAUAGUUUAACUAAGUUUGGAUGUAUAGUUCUUCCCAUUGUGUCAACCUCACUCUUGAAUUGUUUUUCCAUGAAUUUUUUAUCCACGACUUUCUUUUUGGAUUGGUCAGUUAUCUCUUCUCUCAGUACCUUAACAGCUACUUUCCUGCCAUAUGGAAGAUGUCCUUUGUAAACAUUUCCAAACGCACCUGAACCUACUUUGUUUUCGAUCUUUGAUGUAAUGCUCUGAAGCUCGUCAUGUGUAUAUAGUUGUAGUUUCUCAUUUUCUAUAUCACUUAGGAUUUUCUUAAGAUUCUCCCCCAUCAUAAUUAGUUGAGACAAUAUAAUUAGUUGAGACAAUAUGGCAACCAAUCCCAAUCCAAUCGAUUCCUGUAUCAAAUAAAGAUGACAUAGGUACGAUUGUGAAAAACAUAAGGACAUUGACAAAAAAAAUAAUGUAAAUUGUAGGUAGACAAAACUAUUGAGUUUGAAAUUCAACAAAAUAUUCUCUCCAAUGUGUUCAAGCAUUUAGUUUUACUUGUUGGUUUUGAAACCGACAUUCGAUUGUUUGACAUCAUUUUGUGACUAGGUUAGGAGUGUCCGAGGUUAUCUCGCCUUGACGUCAUUAUUAGGAAGUACCUUGAUGUGUGAGCGUCGUCCCGUGUCUUCUUACUCUCGUUCAAAGUCUGUCAGGUUGUUGUUUGUUCCAGGACAUACGUACCUAGUUAGGACGUAUGUACGUAAGGUUGGGCAGAUCUUUUAUUUUUGGUUAGGAUGUACGUACCUAGUUAGGACGUACGUACGUCCUGUUCAACAUAUCACUUAUUCGUUCAGGGACGUACGUACCUAGUUAGGGCGUACGUACGUCGUCGUAUGGAUUUCUUGUUUUCAGCUAAUUUUCUCUCUUUUCCAAACCCUAAGUAUAAAUAGGUUUUUCAACCAUAGAACAAAGUAGUUCUUUGGCCGUCCAAUUGAAGUCUUCUUCUUGAGUUUGUUUAGGUGAUUGAACUCAUCCUCUUCUUCCUCAUUCAUCUUCUUCUUCCUUAUUGAAUAUUGAGAUCAGCUUCGAGUCUUCUUGUGUGUUCAUCAAGAAGUCGAGUAUCCUUCUGUGUUCAUCAAGGAACUCUGGUGUAAGCUUGCUUCAUAGAUCGACUUCGAGUCUUCUUGUGUGUUCAUCAAGAAGUCGAGUUCCUUGUGCGUACAUCAAGGUACUCUGGUGAAGUCAAGGUAUUAGAGAUAACCAGUAGUAUCAACUCGCAGUGAUUGCAGGUAGUUAAUAGGUUUGUACAUCUCUUUUCAUAUAGUGGAUUUAUUUGUUGUCGCGGGGACAACCGUGGACGUUUCCCAUAUUGGGUUUUACCAUGUUAAAAAUAUCGUGUGUUCUUUACUUGUUUAUCGCUUUAUUGUUUGCUUUACUAUUGUUAUAUUGCACAUAUUGGGUUUUUAGGUUUUUCAUUGACUUCAUUCUUCAUUCAAGUGGAUUGACACCUUUCUCAUCAUUAUACUACCUAUUAUUUUAGGAGAGAAAAAGUUUUUGCAUUCUUCGCCUUAACGACAUUUGCAUUUCUAUUAAAAAAAGCAAAAAUGUGAGAAUCAGUUUUUGCCCCAAGAAAUUGUGAUUGUGACAAUUUUAGGAACCUUAUUAAAGUUUGGUUUGAAGGAAUUUUUAUUUCACUUAUAUCCUUUUCGCAAAUACUAAAAGGUUAACUAUAAAAAUGGAUCCUACUUGUGAAAGGGAAGAACUUAAAUUAUCUAGGUUUAAAAUUUAAUUUAUUUAAUUUUUUUUUUUUUUUUUGGUAAAAAGUUUUAAAAGCAUUCAAUUAUUUUCAAGAUUUGGGUCAAAAUCCAAUGGGAUUGCUUGCUUUCUCACUGAGAAGGCUGUGAGAGUACUCUCUCUAAAUAACAAUUCUAAAAUAUAACUUCUUUAGUUACACUAUUCAUUGCCAAUUGGUUUUGAGUUGGACCCCAUGAGUUUAACAUGGUAUAAGAGCGGGCAUUUAUUCUGGGUUUAUAAGCCUAUGUGUGGUUUGAUUGGUCGUGGGAAAAAUUCCCACAUCAAACAUUACCCCAGAAAUUCCCAGAUGCCUGUUUGAUUGGUAAAGUUGGGUCAUGUAAAAAUUCCAUGAUAAAAAUAUUUCUCAUGAAUUUUUCCUUGACCCACCCUUAAAAAAAAAUUCCCAAACUUGUAGGGGAAUAUUUUUUUUGUCUAAUCAAACAACUAAAAUCUUUCCCACAUAAAAUUUUCCUCAUGUUUUUAUGUCUAAUCAAAUAACUAAAAUCUUUCCCACAUAAAAUUUUCCUUGUGUUUUUAUGUCCAAUCAAACGACCCAUUAGUAGGAAUUAUUUUAUGUGGGAAUAUUUUCAACUAUAAAAAUUCCCACAAGUAGUUAUUCCCACCAAUCAAACACACCCUUAAAUCAUGCCAUGCGUGAGGGAGCGGGUUGAGAACUUGAGAUGCUUAACCCCAGAUUGGUUUUGAGUUGAACACCAUGACUUUAAUAACAACGAAGAUCAUUUUGAAUUCUAAGGAUGGCGAGAUUGCUCGCCAUAAUACAGACUCAUUAACAUGUGUCAGAGUUGACAGGGUAACAGGGUCAGAGAGUCUUGGAAAAAGUUGGAUGGCUACUAUGCCCACUUCAUUUGAACAUAGAAAAGCUAAUUAGAUAGAAGCUAAGGCUAACUUAUAUUAGCUCUAUAAAGCAACAAAUUUAAUCUUCUGUAGUCGUGUAUUAAUAAUGAGAACUGAAUACGAAAGACUAACCUUGAAAGAAGAAGAAAACCACAACAGAAGGCCAGAAGCUCAAUCUCAGAACCAGAAUCUCUAUACUACUAGUGUAUUGUGUUUUGUAGGAAGAAGAAGAGUAUGGGUACAUCAAUAAAAAGUGAAGUACAUAUAAAUGAUCCUACAAUCAAUCUCCAAUCUCAAAGUCAAAUAAACCACACGGAAUACCAGGUGUAGCAUGUGAAAGGCCACCUACCCCUAAAUAUAUAUAUACAUAUAGUAACAAAAAAAUUUAAGAGAUUUUUGGACAUACCCCAAUUUGAAAGUCGAAAUUUGAGAUACCCCAUUUGAAAAAAAAAUUGAGAUACCCCUAAUUCAAGACAAAAGAGCUUUACAUCCGUAGGUGAGUUUUAUCAUCCGUAGGUGAGUUUUAUGAUGGACGGCUAAGAUAACACCAUAUCUUGAAUUGGGGGUAUCUCAAAUUUUUUUUCAAAUGGGGUAUCUCAAAUUUCGACCUUCAAAUGGGGGUAUGUCCAAAAAUCUCUCUAGUUUUAAUUUAGUGAAUCUCAAACCACCUAAAUUGUACUAUUCAACAUUGGUCACACCAACAAAAUUAGUCGCAUAACCCAACUUAUAAAAUAACUCAAAAUAACUAAACAAGUAACUUCAUAUCUUAUACCUAUAUUAUCUUUUAUUUCAAAGAAUUAGACUUUUAGUCUUAUUCCAAUUUUUUUUGGGCUAAAAUGAUAAACUUUGAAUUAUGGCGGUCAAAAGGACAAACACACGUUAAUAAUUUAUCAAAAGAACAAACUCGAAUUUUUACUUAGUUAAAAAGACAAAUGUUUAUGAUUAGACCUGUAAUCAUAUAGUCACACUUUUUCAAAAUCCUAAUACAUGUGAUUGCUAUUAUGAUUAUACGUGUGAUCAUACACACUUGUUCUUUUGAUUUAUGUGAUCACAACUGUAAUCAUACUCAUGAUCAUAAAAUAUUUAUAUGUGAUCAGGAGUAUAUGAUCAUAACAAAUAAAUGUGAUUAUAAGUAUGAUCAUACAUACUUAUGUUGUGAUUUAUGUGUGAUCAUAACGAAUAAAUGUGAUUAUAAGUCUGAUCAUACCAACUAAAUGUGAUUAUAGGGUUUGAUCAUACGGUUGCAUAAAAUUGCAUUCCAACAAGAGUUAAUUUGGGUAGGGUAUAGUUUUAUUGCAUUUAGUGUUAUGUAUUAUAUGAUUAGACAUGUGAUCAUAUGAUUAUAGGUCUGAUCAUACAGUUGGAUAAAGUCGCAUUAAAACUAGGGUUCAUCGGGGUAGGAUAUCGUUUUAUUGCAUUUAGUGUUGUAUAGUAUAUGAUUAACGUCGUGAUCAUGUGAUUAUAGGUCUGAUCAUAGGGUUGCUUAAGAUUGCAUUCCAGCCAAAUAGGGUUCAUUUAGGUAGAGUGUAGUUUUAUUGCAUUUAGUGUGUAUGUAGUAUAUGAUUAGACAUGUGAUCAUGAAGGGUAUUUUUGUCCAAGGGAGUAAAUUGUUAUGAUCAGACCCGUGAUCCUAAAAACGUUAUCCUUUUGAGUAAGUAAAAUCUUUUAUUGUCCUUUUGGCCUAACCUAAUAGGAACCGUGUCCUUGCGCCCAACUCACCCCUGCUCUUUUCAUUUGGUAUAACUCAAGAAUUCAUUGGAUAUUUGCAAAAAAUAAAAAUAUAGUGGCAGAACGACAGAAAGAAAAAAAUUGAGAAAAAGAAAAAUAUCACGAACCAUCACUAGAAAAUAGUGGAACGGAAAGAAAUUGAAACAUGCUAAAAUACACUAGUAACCUCUCACUAGAUAGUGACGGAACGAAAAAUGCUAAAAUAUACCGUGAACUAAUAGAUUUUCUUUACUUAGAAAUUUAGAAAUUUUAUUUCUUAAUGGGUUUUCUUUAGAAAUUUUAUUUCUAUAUAGAUUUUCUUUACUUAGAAAUUUUUGAUUAAUUUUGCAUAAAAAUUUGCAAGUUGCCACAGAUAGAAUUAAUUCUUAAUUAGAAUUAAAACAUAAAAAACUCAACACAUGUCUUAAAACACAAAGAUGAAGUUUGACUCAAAAUAAAAAACUUUAGCCCAGUUUCUUGUUGAAUGUGAACUUUACCAUUUUCUAACUCGGGACUUCUUGGAUGCCAGCUGAGUCCAGUUGGUGUAAUACCUUGGGGCGAUGAUACCAGAGGUCUAAGGUUCGAUUUCAGUGCAUCUUUGAGCUACUGAUUUCUUUAAAGACAGGCUUGCCGAUCAAAAAAUAAAAUAAAAUACACUAGGACCGACGUUGUUGUUGUUGAGUGUGUACUCAUUUCAUUUUCUAAUGAGUCUAUUCCUACCUGUACAAUUUGAAAUGAACCUUCUUUAAUUUAAAGAGUAAAUUAAAAUUAAUAUUGUAAAAACGAAAUGCGAAGCUGCAACAUGUUGAGUUAUUCAUUUUUUUAAUUAAAGCUGCAACAUGAUGUUGAAUUAUUCAUUUUUUUUUAAUGAGGGGCUUCUUGUUGAGUGUGAACUAACUGAUCAUUUCUUCUCCCAUCAAGGUGUGAGAAGAACAACUUCCAACCAACUCUUCAGUCUUCAUCAUACGUGGAACUUGCAAAGCUAGUUGGAUCAAGUUAGUUUUUCAUUGAAUUUUCCAGGUAAAAUUUAAAGUUUGUGCUUUAAUUUGGAUCUCCUUUUGUUAAGAUUAAUUACCAAGAUUAUACGUACUACUGCACUGCAUAGAUUAUACGUACUACUGUGCUUUAUUUGUCUUGCAAGUUGCAACUAAUCUUGCUGCAGUUAGUCCUCACUUAAUAUUGUUUCGGUUGGUUUUUCGAUCAUAGAUCAGAUCUAAUUUAGUCUCUCUGUAGAUAUCUAGCGCACUAUUCCACUCACCAUUCCCACUUUGGCCACUCAAACAAGUGCUAAAGUCACUGUUAAAUUACUUCAAUGAGUUUUCGAUGAUCUAGCUUUCAUAUACUGUGCCUGCAACAGAUCUCUGUCAUCCAAGUGUAGCCUGUGCUUGUUUUGUUUCUCACCACCAAGACAUUAAUGUGACAGCAAUUGUUGGUAUAGUUGAAUAAAUCCUGGAAAUCGACCCAUAUACUUGAAUUAAUUACUCCCUCUGUCCCAAAUUAUAAGUACCUUUUGAUUUUUGAUUGUUCAUUUGUCUAUAUUACCCUUGUUUUGAGAUAGAGUAAUUAUUCUAAUGAAAAGUUAGGCAUUAUAAUUAGUAUUAAAUAGGGGUAAGUUAGGAAGUAGAGUUAGUAGACAAACAAUAAAUGAUGUUUCCUUAAUAAAUAGAAUAUUCCAAAAGGUACUUAUAAUUUGGGACGGAGGGAGUAUAUAUUUUCAUUAUAGUACAUUAAUUAAGUGGACCACAACUAAAAUACUAGCUAGGUUAUAAUUUCCAAUACGGUGAUAAAUGCACAACCUGUUUAAUUGCACAAAAAAUAUUGGUUCCAUGAUUGGGAUAGUGUAUUUUGGGAAUUUCCCUGCACACUACUCCGUAUGUAAUGUGCAAAUUAUUUACAGUCCCAAACUCCCAACCCUAUAAUUAUCCCACACUUGGUAAGAAACACUUUAAAAUUAUGUGUAUUAUACUUACCAUUGGAAUUAUAAACCACACUUAGGUUGAAAUUGAAGUAAAUUACUUUUAAAUUUGCAUAUAUAUAAUGUUUUAUUUAUUUUCUAAUCUAUAUCAAAUUAUAACAUUAUAUUAUGUUAGGUAUGGAAUUUUACAAUCUACAUUAGACAGUCUUUCACCUUUACUUUGUAAAUGCACACCCUUUGUAAACGCACAUUAAAUCUUGGUCCCAAGGGCGUGCAUUUAGACAUGUUUCACUGUACAAUUAAAUUAUGCAGACUUUUCAUAUUUGGCAUUUUUUUUUUUUUUUUUUUUUAAUCUCAGAUGUUGUUAGUGUCUUCUACUAGGUUGUUAAAUAUUCCUUGUUGUACAGAAUUAAUGAGCAACUCUUCUUCCUAUAUACAUUACACAUGCAGAAAUAUAAUUGUUUCACCGGCCUGAGAUCAUGGGUAGUAGGUCCGAUCUAGAUGAUUAUUUUGGAAAUUUACGUACGGAGAUGCUCAAGCUGAAAGAAUUGAGAGACGAUGUGGCCACAAGAGGGGAAGCACGAAUGGCUGGUUGGCUACAGAUUGUUAAAGACAAAGAAGGAGAGGUGGGUGAAUUUGAAAUGGAGUUGAAAAAACUAGAAAAAAGUCGUUUACCACGUCCAAGUGCCAAGGAAAAGCUAAAGGAAAGAGUCAUUAGAUGUAUAACAACGGUGAAAGCUUUAAUCGUAAGUAAGGAUGCUAUCUCAUUAGCCAUGGAAACAUUCAUAAGUGAAGUGGCAACAGGGAAACCAACACAAUUUUCAGAAUGGCAGCUGAAGGAAUAUACCUCUGAUUUCGCUACUUCGACUGUGGUAGGUUCUGGUGAGUUUGGGGUUGUCUAUAAAGGUGUAUUACGUAAUAAUGUGGAAAUAGCCGUUAAGGUACUGCAUGACAGUGGGAUGGACAACAUGGAAAAGCAAUUUAAGGCUGAAGUGAACACAAUGAGCAGAACUUCUCAUCGAAACUUAGCAAAACUCUAUGGUUAUUGUUUUGAUGCCAAAAAGAAAGCCCUUGUGUAUGAAUUCGUGAAGAAUGGAUCCUUGGAUAAAAUUUUAUAUGAUGGCAACAGUAGUAUAGAAUGGGGCAAAUUAUAUAAUAUUGCAGUUGAGACUGCAAAAGGGCUCUCUUAUUUGCACGAGAAUUGUGAUGAACGGAUAAUUCAUCGAGACAUAAAGGCUGGUAAUGUGCUCCUUGACUCAAACUUUUGUCCUAAGCUUACUGAUUUUGGAUUGGCUAAGUUUUAUGGCACUGAUAAGAGUCAAGUUGCAUUGAGUAGCGGUUUCAGGGGGGUACGCAAUUAUGAUGCUCCAGAGUUGCGAUUUGGAAAUAAAAGAAAAGUAAGCUAUAAAUGUGAUGUUUUCAGCUUUGGGGUGAUGCUUUUUGAAAUUUUAACGAGGAAGAAAUGCGAAGGUGAUAACUCGUUGGCACUACAUGUUUGGGACAAGUUUCAGAAAGGAGUACUUGACGAAUUUAUAACAGAUAAAUGUGGCAUUGUUGGGGAAGAGGAUAAAGAUAAUGCAAAGACAUUAAGUAUAGUUGCGUUAUUGUGCAUUGAACAUAAACCCCAGGACAGACCUUCCAUGAGUAAAGUGGUGAAUAUUCUUACGGGUGUAAUCAAACCUUCCACACCACUGAAUCCUU
RNAcentral lists this long non-coding RNA (29292 nucleotides) under Aquilegia coerulea. RNAcentral describes it as "long non-coding RNA (ACOE_LNC001524)". Lineage: Eukaryota; Viridiplantae; Streptophyta; Magnoliopsida; Ranunculales; Ranunculaceae. The record is from RNAcentral.